UACGGAGGGUGCGAGCGUUGUCCGGAUUUAUUGGGUUUAAAGGGUGCGUAGGUGGCUUUAUAAGUCAGUGGUGAAAUACAGCCGCUCAACGGUUGAGGUGCCAUUGAUACUGUAGAGCUUGAAACAAUUGGAGGCUGCCGGAAUGGAUGGUGUAGCGGUGAAAUGCAUAGAUAUCAUCCAGAACACCGAUUGCGAAGGCAGGUGGCUACGUUUGAUUUGACACUGAGGCACGAAAGCAUGGGGAGCAAACAGGAUUAGAAACCCGGGUAGUCC
Molecule: ribosomal RNA, 273 nt
Filed under: uncultured bacterium
Lineage: Bacteria
Description: partial 16S ribosomal RNA
Rfam family: Bacterial small subunit ribosomal RNA
Source: RNAcentral